RNAcentral lists this ribosomal RNA (465 nucleotides) under uncultured Klebsiella sp. RNAcentral's name for it is "bacterial SSU rRNA". It matches the Rfam family "Bacterial small subunit ribosomal RNA", at positions 338 to 795 of the family's 1533-position model. The record is from RNAcentral. Lineage: Bacteria; Pseudomonadati; Pseudomonadota; Gammaproteobacteria; Enterobacterales; Enterobacteriaceae.
CCUACGGGCGGCAGCAGUGGGGAAUAUUGCACAAUGGGCGCAAGCCUGAUGCAGCCAUGCCGCGUGUGUGAAGAAGGCCUUCGGGUUGUAAAGCACUUUCAGCGGGGAGGAAGGCGGUGAGGUUAAUAACCUCAUCGAUUGACGUUACCCGCAGAAGAAGCACCGGCUAACUCCGUGCCAGCAGCCGCGGUAAUACGGAGGGUGCAAGCGUUAAUCGGAAUUACUGGGCGUAAAGCGCACGCAGGCGGUCUGUCAAGUCGGAUGUGAAAUCCCCGGGCUCAACCUGGGAACUGCAUUCGAAACUGGCAGGCUGGAGUCUUGUAGAGGGGAGUAGAAUUCCAGGUGUAGCGGUGAAAUGCGUAGAGAUCUGGAGGAAUACCGGUGGCGAAGGCGGCCCCCUGGACAAAGACUGACGCUCAGGUGCGAAAGCGUGGGGAGCAAACAGGAUUAGAUACCCUAGUAGUC